GAUUAUUGGACAAUGGGCGAAAGCCUGAUCCAGCCACGCCGCGUGUGUGAAGGAGGUCUUCGGAUUGUAAAUCACUUUCAGUUGGGAGGAAGGGCAGUAAGCGAAUACCUUGCUGUUUUGACGUUAACGACAGAGUAAGCAUCGGCUACCUCUGUGCCCGCAGCCGCGGUAAGACAGAGGGUGCAAGCGUUAAUCGGAAUUCCUGGGCGUAAAGCGCGCGUAGGUGGUUCGUUAAGUUGGAUGUGAAAUCCCCGGGCUCAACCUGGGAACUGCAUCCAAAACUGGCGAGCUAUAGUAGGGCAGAGGGUGGUGGAAUUUCCUGUGUAGCGGUGAAAUGCGUAGAUAUAGGAAGGAACACCAGUGGCGAAGGCGACCACCUGGGCUCAUACUGACACUGAGGUGCGAAAGCGUGGGGAGCAAACA
This 423-nucleotide ribosomal RNA is filed under the name uncultured bacterium. RNAcentral describes it as "partial 16S ribosomal RNA". It matches the Rfam family "Bacterial small subunit ribosomal RNA", at positions 359 to 774 of the family's 1533-position model. The record is from RNAcentral.